CCCUUUGACAAGGCGUACCGAGGUCGCUACUAUGCGCCUCGUUCACACGAUACGGCGGACUGUUAAUCCGUAUGUCACUGGUUCGAGUCCAGUCAGAGGAGCCA
This 104-nucleotide transfer RNA is filed under the name Enterobacter asburiae. RNAcentral describes it as "tRNA-Asn". The record is from RNAcentral. Lineage: Bacteria; Pseudomonadati; Pseudomonadota; Gammaproteobacteria; Enterobacterales; Enterobacteriaceae.